CUCCAGACUCCUACGGGAGGCAGCAGUGAGGAAUAUUGGUCAAUGGUCGGGAGACUGAACCAGCCAAGCCGCGUGAGGGAUGAAGGUACAGAGUAUCGUAAACCUCUUUUGUCAGGGAACAAAGACUGGGACGCGUCCCCGGAUGAGUGUACCUGAAAAAAAAGCAUCGGCUAACUCCGUGCCAGCAGCCGCGGUAAUACGGAGGAUGCGAGCGUUAUCCGGAUUUAUUGGGUUUAAAGGGAGCGUAGAUGGGUUGUUAAGUCAGUUGUGAAAGUUUGCGGCUCAACCGUAAAAUUGCAAUUGAUACUGGCAGCCUUGAGUACAGUUGAGGUAGGCGGAAUUCGUGGUGUAGCGGUGAAAUGCAUAGAUAUCACGCAGAACUCCGAUUGCGAAGGCAGCGUACCGGCGCGCAACUGACGCUCAUGCACGAAAGCGUGGGUAUCGAGCAGGAUUAGAUACCCCUGUA
Molecule: ribosomal RNA, 466 nt
Filed under: uncultured bacterium
Lineage: Bacteria
Description: bacterial SSU rRNA
Rfam family: Bacterial small subunit ribosomal RNA
Source: RNAcentral